RNAcentral lists this long non-coding RNA (576 nucleotides) under Homo sapiens (human). RNAcentral describes it as "novel transcript". The record is from RNAcentral. Lineage: Eukaryota; Metazoa; Chordata; Mammalia; Primates; Hominidae.
CAGUGUCCCCUCCCCUAGUCCUUUACACACACCUGCUAAGCCAGGCCUGGGACCCACAGCUCCAUCAUGUGAGCUGUACACGGCCCGGCAGGUUGAGGUGCUAGGUCACCCCUCACCUUUACAAGGCCUCAGGUCAUACCAUUCAUGCGUGCUCUGGGGCCCUCAGAGCCCAAGCUCCCAGCCUGAGGGUCUAGGGCUGAGGCCUCACCCGCCCAUAGUCCUGCAGUGACCCCAGCUCUGUCAUGAGUCCAGCCGGCUCCAGCCGGGCCAGGAGCAGCUGUACUGGGACACGCUGAAGCAGCUGUCCAAGCACAUCAAGCCCCUGCACCGCGUGGUCAACAAGAUCGACAAGAGUGAAGACAGAAAAAAGGACCUGAGCAAGAUGAAGAGCCUUCUGGACAUUGUGACAGACCUCUCCAAGCAGUCCCCUGAAGACCUUGCCAAAGUGUGAGAUCGCCCUGGAGAAACUCAAGAAUGACAUGGCGGUGUGGUGUGCACCCGGAAGCACAGGCUUGAGGACGAUGAGCGGCAGAGCAUCCCCAGCAUGCUCCAGGGCGAGGUGGCCAGGCUGGACCC